This is a long non-coding RNA of Erigeron canadensis, 822 nucleotides long. RefSeq lists it as uncharacterized. The record is from RefSeq and is a predicted model, not a curated record. The transcript is spliced from 2 exons. Lineage: Eukaryota; Viridiplantae; Streptophyta; Magnoliopsida; Asterales; Asteraceae.
GGUCCAAGCCUGCAGAAACGGCUCCUAUGGUUCCAAUGAUCUGUAAGUUAAGGAAGAUUGGCCAAGCAAAACCACUCAGCUUCUUUUAGUGAAACACAGCCAGGAGUUUGUAGCCUGCAAUGUUCUCAACAGCAAUAUUGAUGAGAGUGGCUGUGAUACCGGUUAGAAGACCAACCAGGAAGGCCUGCGACCAUUUCCAUGAUAAAUACUGCAGGGCUUGGACUUCCGAUCUGCUUCUCCAUUCCUGUUUGAAAAGAUCAUUCUCGUUGAUCCUGACAUACAUUCGUGAUUAUCCUAUCGUUAUUCUUGAAAAAAUAGCAAAUACAAGAAAGUGGUAUUUCAACUUACUCAUAAUCCAAGCUUUCGAUAUGAGAAACUUUGGAUCCAAUGACGGCAUGUUGACUAGAAGGGAGGGUAUGAUUUCUCUUGAGGAGUGGCUCAUGGACAAAAUCGUUAGUUGAUUCUCUUUCAUGUUUUACUGUUUGUGCUUCCAUGUGGUUGGUGCAUAUUUCUUCUGAUACGUUUGAUUCUUCUUUCAUUUGAUCAGAUGCCGUUUGGAUCUUUGGCAGUCACUAGUCGUCCUGCACUAUAUACAGACUAACAGCGUAAUAUCUCCCCCUGCCAUUGUGUGUGUGCAGAGACAUACAUAUGUGUAUACCUAUAUAUACCGUGUUGUCCUAUUGGAAUAUACUUUUAAGUAGGUUCAUAGUUGUUUAGAUGGGAAUGGUUGGUUUGAAAAGAUGCAGUAUUCGUUAUCAAACCUUGGACAAUAGGUGAAUGGCUAGAGGCAAUAUAAAACAAACAAUUCGGGGUCCAUGUUUA